GUUCGAUGCUCCUGGUCAUGAGUCGAAGGUGAGUAUAUCGAUGAAGAGGACAACCCUUCGGGGACCUCGAUCGACUAGCUAACGCUCCUUGAUGAGUUGAGUAAAGCUUCGAACGAUGAUGAUGACGAUCAUGCAACAUAGGAAAGAAAAAUAUAGGAAUAUUUUAUUUGGAAAAGCAAGUCCAUUAUGAGGCGACUUCAUCCACACUAAGGCUAUGGCAAGAAAAAGCUACAAGAUUGAAGCUUUGACGACACCCUCGAAG
Molecule: long non-coding RNA, 262 nt
Filed under: Elaeis guineensis (African oil palm)
Lineage: Eukaryota; Viridiplantae; Streptophyta; Magnoliopsida; Arecales; Arecaceae
Description: long non-coding RNA (EGUI_LNC022028)
Source: RNAcentral